GGAGGUGGAGGGGUCCUGGUGGGCCUCCUGGACUUCAAAUCCAGCGCGGGGCGAACUUAAGUCCCGGGUGGGUUCGAUUCCCAUGCACCUCCGCCA
Molecule: transfer RNA, 96 nt
Filed under: Planctomycetes bacterium ADurb.Bin069
Lineage: Bacteria; Pseudomonadati; Planctomycetota
Also listed under: 1 other name
Description: tRNA-Sec
Rfam family: Selenocysteine transfer RNA
Source: RNAcentral